Molecule: long non-coding RNA, 1312 nt
Organism: Marmota flaviventris (yellow-bellied marmot)
Lineage: Eukaryota; Metazoa; Chordata; Mammalia; Rodentia; Sciuridae
Source: RefSeq, a predicted model, not a curated record
GUCCCCGUGGCUUCGGGGGGCGCCGGGCCCAGGCUCAAGAUCCUCGGGGCGCGCCCCGGUCACCCCCUCCCAGGCCAGCACCAGGCAGCGCCAAACGGGGGCGCAGGCUCAUGGCUGGGGCCUCCUCUCCUGCCCGUGCGUCUGGAGUCUGUUUGUCCGAGGCCCCGGCGCAGGUAGAGGCACGGGGCUGGGGGAGGCAGAGCUCCCUGGAGCUGGAAACCCGGCCGGAGGGGACCCUCCAGGCGCCCCCUGGCCACCCGCUGCGUCCUUCCCGAUCCUUUCCAUUCCGGAGAGCGCGGGGCCUGGGCUGCUUGGAAUUCCGUUCCUCGGGAGAGGAGGCUGGCGUCCGCCCCGAGAAGGGCGCGCGGGGGCCGGGCAACAGGAGCGCCAGGCCGCUGGCUCCGGGCCUCGGCGACCCAGCGUGGCAGCUCCCGAUCCUGCCUCCACGCGUAAAAUGAGAUCGCCACGGAGCUUGGAGCCCCUUUGGGCCUGAACAGGAGCCUCUCCAAGACCCCCACGGCCUGGGGACACGUCCCCCCCUUCUGUUGUUCUGCAAGGCCACUGAGCUGGAACCAGGCAGGGACUCAGCCGCGGGAAGCUGUACCCGCCGCGGGGCGGUGAUCGCCGGAGCCGAGCGGAAGCGUCUCGCCCCGGCCACGAUCGCAAACGGAGGUGGGCAGCUCGGAGCACCCGGGAAAGCAGAGCACUGCUUUUUAUUGUCACCCAGGGGAAAGUCUGUCUGAGGGACUGGGAGUGUGUCCCUGUGCCUGAGUUUCUGGGAUCAGAAGCAGAUUAUCAGAGCCCUUUCAGAGAGCGCACAACAAAUGCGCCCGCCAUCGAAUGCAGCAUUUACCACCGCAGAUCCGCGCGCUGAUGGGCAGCCAGAUAGCCAUCCGCGGGGGGCACCGUGGAGCGCCCUGCGCCCAGCGCGCCUCCAGCCUGCGCGCAGGGGCCACCCGAGUGUGCGCUCUCUCCGGGGGAGACACUGUAGCCGGGCAGCCUUUGGAAGGCCAGCGACGGAGUGGACGCUCAGCACACGGGGGAGACGUGGGUAUGCGUGUGCCAGGGUGUCAGACAUGUGUCCUGCAAGGAAGCGCACGUGUCCCAACCUUGGUGGCCCCGAGGAGCGCCUGGAGACGGCCUUGGAAAGACGCGCGUGGGGACGGGCCUGGCACGCACGUGUGACUCAUGAAGCUGGGGUCUUUGGGCAAGUCAGCUCCUGUCUGGAAUUUGCAGCUUUUCCAUCCAUUCUUUCAGCAAACACUUAUGGAGCACCUACUGUAUGCCAUACUGACCCUGGGCCGCCCCCCCC